UGGGGAAUUUUGGACAAUGGGCGAAAGCCUGAUCCAGCAAUGCUGCGUGUGUGAAGAAGGCCUUCGGGUUGUAAAGCACUUUUGUCCGGAAAGAAAUCCUUGGCUCUAAUACAGUCGGGGGAUGACGGUACCGGAAGAAUAAGCACCGGCUAACUACGUGCCAGCAGCCGCGGUAAUACGUAGGGUGCAAGCGUUAAUCGGAAUUACUGGGCGUAAAGCGUGCGCAGGCGGUUUGCUAAGACCGAUGUGAAAUCCCCGGGCUCAACCUGGGAACUGCAUUGGUGACUGACAGGCUAGAGUAUGGCAGAGGGGGGUAGAAUUCCACGUGUAGCAGGUGAAAUGCGUAGAGAUGUGGAGGAAUACCGAUGGCGAAGGCAGCCCCCUGGGCCAAUACUGACGCUCAUGCACGAAAGCGUGGGGAGCAAACAGGAUUAGAUACCCUGGUAGUCCACGCCCUAAAGCGAUGUCAACUAGUUGUUGGGGAUUCAUUUCCUUAGUAACGUAGCUAACGCGUGAAGUUGACCGCCUGGGGAGUACGGUCGCAA
RNAcentral lists this ribosomal RNA (545 nucleotides) under uncultured bacterium. RNAcentral's name for it is "partial 16S ribosomal RNA". It matches the Rfam family "Bacterial small subunit ribosomal RNA", at positions 355 to 891 of the family's 1533-position model. The record is from RNAcentral.